UGGGGAAUCUUGCACAAUGGACGAAAGUCUGAUGCAGCAACGCCGCGUGGGGGAUGAAGCUUCUCGGAGUGUAAACCCCUUUCGACCUGGAAGAAUGCCCGCAAGGGUUUGACGGUACAGGUAUAAGAAGCCCCGGCUAACUACGUGCCAGCAGCCGCGGUAAUACGUAGGGGGCCAGCGUUGCUCGGAAUUACUGGGCGUAAAGGGUCCGUAGGCGGUGUGGUAAGUCGGGAGUGAAAUCUCUGGGCUUAACCCAGAGGCUGCUUCCGAAACUGCCGUGCUAGAGUGUGAGAGAGGCGAGUGGAAUUACGGGUGUAGCGGUGAAAUGCGUAGAUAUCCGUAGGAACAUCCGAGGCGAAGGCGGCUCGCUGGAUCACAACUGACGCUGAGGGACGAAAGCUAGGGGAGCAAACAGGAUUAGAUACCCUGGUAGUCCUAGCCCUAAACCAUCAGGACUUGGGGUUUGCCCUGUACGGGGCAAGUCCCGUAGCUAACGCGUUAAGUCCUGCGCCUGGGGAGUACGGUCGCAAGACUG
Molecule: ribosomal RNA, 535 nt
Filed under: uncultured bacterium
Lineage: Bacteria
Description: bacterial SSU rRNA
Rfam family: Bacterial small subunit ribosomal RNA
Source: RNAcentral